This 464-nucleotide ribosomal RNA is filed under the name uncultured bacterium. Its description in RNAcentral is "partial 16S ribosomal RNA". It matches the Rfam family "Bacterial small subunit ribosomal RNA", at positions 28 to 506 of the family's 1533-position model. The record is from RNAcentral.
GACGAACGCUGGCGGCGUGCUUAACACAUGCAAGUCGUACGGUAAGGCCCUUUCGGGGGUACACGAGUGGCGAACGGGUGAGUAACACGUGAGUAACCUGCCCACAACUUUGGGAUAACGCUAGGAAACUGGUGCUAAUACUGGAUAUGUGCUCCUGCUGCAUGGUGGGGGUUGGAAAGCUCCGGCGGUUGUGGAUGGACUCGCGGCCUAUCAGCUUGUUGGUGGGGUAGUGGCCUACCAAGGCGGCGACGGGUAGCCGGCCUGAGAGGGUGACCGGCCACAUUGGGACUGAGAUACGGCCCAGACUCCUACGGGAGGCAGCAGUGGGGAAUAUUGCACAAUGGGCGCAAGCCUGAUGCAGCAACGCCGCGUGCGGGAUGACGGCCUUCGGGUUGUAAACCGCUUUCAGCAGGGACGAAGCUUUUUGGGACGGUACCUGCAGAAGAAGCACCGGCGAACUACGU